AGCUGGAGUUCAAAGUUCAGUGUAGAGCUGAGGCACAGUGAAGUGAGGACCUGAGGAGUUUGUCUGGUGUUCCUGAAGGAGGCCUGAGGCCUAGUCCAGCAACCACGCAACUACUACAAGUUAACCACUGCACCGUGGGUGAAAGUCAAAGCCUUACGGUGGACUAUUCUAUUCAAUACCGUCCAGAAAGUAGACAGAAAGUAGACAUAUCUAUUUGCAGGUGAACACGUCCGAUCAUGGUAUCAAGAAAUUUCAGGUAGAGCUGAUACUGCCUCAUCCUGUGGAACAACCUCUGGUGACCUAUCCUUUUCCACUGGGAUCUCAGGAGGUGUCUUUUCUUUACUCUCUCCAGACAGAUACAAGGAGUCUUCUAUUACAUAUGUUAUUUU
Hyla sarda is the source of this 389-nucleotide long non-coding RNA. RefSeq lists it as uncharacterized. Lineage: Eukaryota; Metazoa; Chordata; Amphibia; Anura; Hylidae. The transcript is spliced from 3 exons. The record is from RefSeq and is a predicted model, not a curated record.